ACGGGUAGCUGGUCUGAGAGGAUGGUCAGCCACACUGGAACUGAGACACGGUCCAGACACCUACGGGUGGCAGCAGUCGAGAAUCAUUCGCAAUGGGGGAAACCCUGACGAUGCGACGCCGCGUGGAGGAUGAAGGCCUUAGGGUUGUAAACUCCUGUCAAGAGGGAAUAAGCAAGUGAAGGUACCUCUAGAGGAAGGGGUGGCUAAUUCCGUGCCAGCAGCCGCGGUAACACGGAAGCCCCGAGCGUUGUUCGGAUUCAUUGGGCGUAAAGGGUGCGUAGGCGGCGCGGAAAGUCCGGCGUGAAAGGCAGGGGCUCAACCUCUGGACUGCGUUGGAUACUUCCGUGCUUGAGGACUGGAGGGGAGACUGGAAUUCACGGUGUAGCAGUGAAAUGCGUAGAUAUCGUGAGGAAGACCGGUGGCGAAGGCGAGUCUCUGGACAGAUCCUGACGCUGAGGCACGAAGGCUGGGGGAGCGAACAGGAUUAGAUACCCUGGUAGUCCCAGCAGUAAACGAUGUGAGCUUGAUGUGGGGGGAUUCGACCCCUUCCGUGUCGAAGCUAACGCGAUAAGCUCACCGCCUGAGGAGUACGGCCGCAAGGCUAAAACUCAAAGAAAUUGACGGGGACCCGCACAAGCGGUGGAGUAUGUGGCUUAAUUCGAUGCAACGCGAAGAACCUUACCUGGCCUUGACAUGCAUUGUGUCGUCGGUGAAAGCCGGCUAGUCCUGGAAACAGGACGCUUUGCACAGGUGCUGCAUGGCUGUCGUCAGCUCGUGUCGUGAGAUGUUGGGUUAAGUCCCGCAACGAGCGCAACCCUUGUGGUCAGUUACUAACCGGCUUAGCCGGAGGACUCUGGCCAGACUGCCCUGUCAAACGGGGAGGAAGGUGGGGACGACGUCAAGUCAGUAUGGCCCUUAUGGCCAGGGCUGCACACGUACUACAAUGCCCGGUACAAUGUGAACCGAAACCGCGAGGUGGAGGAAUCGCUCUUGAAACCGGGCCCAGUUCGGAUUGGAGUCUGCAACUCGACUCCAUGAAGUCGGAAUCGCUAGUAAUGGCGUAUCAGCAACGACGCCGUGAAUACGUUCCCGGGUCUUGUACACACCGCCCGUCACAUCAUGGAGUCUCCUGUACCCGAAGCACGUGCGCCAACUUUCAGGAG
This 1163-nucleotide ribosomal RNA is filed under the name uncultured organism. RNAcentral's name for it is "bacterial SSU rRNA". It matches the Rfam family "Bacterial small subunit ribosomal RNA", at positions 279 to 1448 of the family's 1533-position model. The record is from RNAcentral.